RNAcentral lists this ribosomal RNA (446 nucleotides) under uncultured bacterium. RNAcentral's name for it is "partial 16S ribosomal RNA". It matches the Rfam family "Bacterial small subunit ribosomal RNA", at positions 338 to 795 of the family's 1533-position model. The record is from RNAcentral.
CCUACGGGUGGCAGCAGUCGAGAAUCAUUCACAAUGGGGGAAACCCUGAUGGUGCGACGCCGCGUGGGGGAAUGAAGGUCUUCGGAUUGUAAACCCCUGUCAUGUGGGAGCAAAUUAAAAAGAUAGUACCACAAGAGGAAGAGACGGCUAACCCUGAGCCCGCAGCCCCGGGAAUACAGAGGUCUCAAGCGUUGUUCGGAAUCACUGGGCGUAAAGUGUGCGUAGGCUGUUUCGUAAGUCGUGUGUGAAAGGCGCGGGCUCAACCCGCGGACGGCACAUGAUACUGCGUGACUAGAGUAAUGGAGGGGGAAGCGGAAUUCUCGGUGUAGCAGUGAAAUGCGUAGAUAUCGAGAGGAACACUCGUGGCGAAGGCGGGUUCCUGGACAUUAACUGACGCUGAGGCACGAAGGCCAGGGGAGCGAAAGGGAUUAGAUACCCCAGUAGUC